CCUACGGGAGGCAGCAGUAGGGAAUAUUGCUCAAUGGGGGAAACCCUGAAGCAGCAACGCCGCGUGGAUGAUGAAGGUUUUCGGAUUGUAAACCCCUUUUGUUAGAGAAGAUAAUGACGGUAUCUAACGGAUAAGCACCGGCUAACACCGUGCCAGCAGCCGCGGUAAUACGGAGGGUGCACGCGUUACUCGGAAUCACUGGGCGUAAAGAGGGCGUAGGCGGGGUAGUAAGUCAGAUGUGAAAUCCGACGGCUUAACCAUAGAACUGCAUUUGAAACUGUUAUUCUAGAGUAUGGGAGAGGUAGGUGGAAUUCUUGGUGUAGGGGUAAAAUCCGUAGAGAUCAGGAGGAAUACUCGUUGCGAAGGCGACCUGCUAGAACAUAACUGACGCUGAUGCGCGAAAGCGUGGGGAGCAAACAGGAUUAGAUACCCCAGUAGUC
This 440-nucleotide ribosomal RNA is filed under the name uncultured bacterium. Its description in RNAcentral is "partial 16S ribosomal RNA". It matches the Rfam family "Bacterial small subunit ribosomal RNA", at positions 338 to 795 of the family's 1533-position model. The record is from RNAcentral.